This 34-nucleotide small RNA is filed under the name Arabidopsis thaliana (thale cress). RNAcentral describes it as "ATSL281640". The record is from RNAcentral. Lineage: Eukaryota; Viridiplantae; Streptophyta; Magnoliopsida; Brassicales; Brassicaceae.
GGGGGACGUCCAUACUUGUUCAAUUUAUCUCUUU